RNAcentral lists this small RNA (583 nucleotides) under Pongo abelii (Sumatran orangutan). Its description in RNAcentral is "processed transcript". Lineage: Eukaryota; Metazoa; Chordata; Mammalia; Primates; Hominidae. The record is from RNAcentral.
AAAGCGGCGAGUAAGAUGGAAGAUGAGGAGGUCGCUGAGAGCUGGGAAGAGGCGGCAGACAGCGGGGUUCCCCAUGUUCACUUGUAGAGCAUGGACCUCCAAAGCCACAAACAUAAGGCAUAGGUUUUACUCUAAGCCUUUCGGAAAUAGACAGACGGUUGGAAAAAAAACUGAAGAUCACACAAAAAGAGAGCAGGAAAUCCAAAUCUCCUCCCAAAGUGCCCAUUGUGAUUCAGGACGAUAGCCUUCCCGCGGGGCCCCCUCCACAGAUCCGCAUCCUCAAGAGGCCCACCAGCAACGGUGUGGUCAGCAGCCCCAACUCCACCAGCAGGCCCACCCUUCCAGUCAAGUCCCUAGCACAGCGAGAGGCCGAGUACGCUGAGGCCCGGAAGCGGAUCCUGGGCAGCGCCAGCCCCGAGGAGGAGCAGGAGAAACCCAUCCUCGACAGGCCAACCAGGAUCUCCCAACCCGAAGACAGCAGGCAGCCCAAUAAUGUGAUCAGACAGCCUUUGGGUCCUGAUGGGUCACAAGGCUUCAAACAGCGCAGAUAAAUGCAGGCAAGAAAAGAUGCCGCCGUUGCUGC